Molecule: ribosomal RNA, 429 nt
Filed under: bacterium
Lineage: Bacteria
Description: partial 16S ribosomal RNA
Rfam family: Bacterial small subunit ribosomal RNA
Source: RNAcentral
UAGGGAAUCUUCGGCAAUGGGGGCAACCCUGACCGAGCAACGCCGCGUGAGUGAAGAAGGUUUUCGGAUCGUAAAGCUCUGUUGUAAGAGAAGAACGUGUGUGAGAGUGGAAAGUUCACACAGUGACGGUAACUUACCAGAAAGGGACGGCUAACUACGUGCCAGCAGCCGCGGUAAUACGUAGGUCCCGAGCGUUGUCCGGAUUUAUUGGGCGUAAAGCGAGCGCAGGCGGUUUCAUAAGUCUGAAGUUAAAGGCAGUGGCUUAACCAUUGUUCGCUUUGGAAACUGUUAAACUUGAGUGCAGCAGGGGAGAGUGGAAUUCCAUGGGGAGCGGUGAAAUGCGUAGAUAUAUGGAGGAACACCGGUGGCGAAAGCGGCUCUCUGGUCUGUAACUGACGAUGAGGCUCGAAAGCGUGGGGAGCACACAGG